UNGCUAAGUAGUUUGUCUACAUUUAGGUCC
Molecule: non-coding RNA, 30 nt
Filed under: Mus musculus (house mouse)
Lineage: Eukaryota; Metazoa; Chordata; Mammalia; Rodentia; Muridae
Source: RNAcentral